GCUUCCUUAGUUAAAUGGAUAUAACGGCCCCCUCCUAAGGGGCAGUUGUGGGUUCGAUUCCCGCAGGAAGUACCA
This 75-nucleotide transfer RNA is filed under the name Bacillota bacterium. RNAcentral's name for it is "Firmicutes bacterium (gut metagenome) tRNA-Arg". It matches the Rfam family "tRNA". Rfam says of the family: Transfer RNA (tRNA) molecules are approximately 80 nucleotides in length. The record is from RNAcentral. Lineage: Bacteria; Bacillati; Bacillota.